UUCGAAGAGACACACACCCCUUACUCAAAACGAUUCAGGGUCAUCCUCUUGAGACACUCUCUAUCCAUCACUCAGGAUUUAAUCUCAGUCUAUCACUCUCCAAGUAAUCAAUCGGUUCCAUCGAAUUUACUCUGUUUCCAUCGAUCUACAGUCUCUCAUCCAGAGUAAAUUGGAUAAAAGGCUAUGGGGUCCAGUUAGGCAUCUUGAAUCUUUACAACGACAUGCUAAACCUAGAGAACACUAUGCAGAUUUAAGACAUAAGGAGAGGCAUGCAAUUGAGAUUUUAAUUCCUGAUAACCACAUCCGCUUGCUCUGAUGCUUAUUAAGUUGAAGGUGCGAUGAUGUUAACUUACAAAGAACAUGUUCCAUCUCAAAUUACUCUCCCCUUGACAAUGCAAAAGAAAAGAAGAUUAUAAGAGAGGAAAUCAGCUCGUGCUUAAAAUUCAACCAAAUCAAAAAAAACCAUCAUCGAAGGGGCUGUCCAAAGGCAUACCAUUUGCUUGUAUCAAGUAAGGUGAAGCGUUUUUUAAAUCUGAAGCUAAAAGAAACCAUUGUAUGUUGCUGUUCAU
Molecule: long non-coding RNA, 569 nt
Organism: Cynara cardunculus var. scolymus (artichoke)
Lineage: Eukaryota; Viridiplantae; Streptophyta; Magnoliopsida; Asterales; Asteraceae
Exons: 4
Source: RefSeq, a predicted model, not a curated record